This 451-nucleotide ribosomal RNA is filed under the name uncultured bacterium. Its description in RNAcentral is "bacterial SSU rRNA". It matches the Rfam family "Bacterial small subunit ribosomal RNA", at positions 354 to 796 of the family's 1533-position model. The record is from RNAcentral.
GUGGGGAAUAUUGCGCAAUGGGCGAAAGCCUGACGCAGCGACGCCGCGUGGGUGAUGAAGGUCUUCGGAUCGUAAAGCCCUGUGGGGAGGGAAGAAAGGUUCGCAGGGUAAUAUCCUGCGGAUUUGACGGUACCUCCUUAGCAAGCACCGGCUAACUCCGUGCCAGCAGCCGCGGUAAGACGGAGGGUGCAAACGUUGUUCGGAAUCACUGGGCGUAAAGCGCGUGUAGGCGGCUUGGCAAGUCGGGUGUGAAAUCCCUUGGCUCAACUGAGGAAGUGCAUUCGAAACUGCUUGGCUCGAGUACGGGAGAGGGAGGUGGAAUUCCCGGUGUAGAGGUGAAAUUCGUAGAUAUCGGGAGGAAUACCUGUGGCGAAGGCGGCCUCCUGGACCGAUACUGACGCUGAAACGCGAAAGCGUGGGGAGCAAACAGGAUUAGAUACCCCGGUAGUCC